RNAcentral lists this ribosomal RNA (245 nucleotides) under uncultured bacterium. Its description in RNAcentral is "partial 16S ribosomal RNA". It matches the Rfam family "Bacterial small subunit ribosomal RNA", at positions 524 to 769 of the family's 1533-position model. The record is from RNAcentral.
UACGUAGGUGCGAGCGUUGUCCGGAAUUACUGGGCGUAAAGGGCGUGUAGGCGGCUUUUUAAGUCAGACGUGAAAUCCCUGGGCUUAACCCAGGACCUGCGUUUGAAACUGGAAGGCUUGAGGAUCGGAGAGGGUAGUGGAAUUCCCAGUGUAGCGGUGAAAUGCGUAGAUAUUGGGAGGAACACCAGUGGCGAAGGCGACUGCCUGGACGACACCUGACGCUGAGGCGCGAAAGCUAGGGGAGC